This 1888-nucleotide long non-coding RNA is filed under the name Brassica napus (rape). RNAcentral's name for it is "long non-coding RNA (BNAP_LNC009843)". The record is from RNAcentral. Lineage: Eukaryota; Viridiplantae; Streptophyta; Magnoliopsida; Brassicales; Brassicaceae.
ACACUGAUUUUGACAUAAUUCAGUGUCUGUCUUUUUGCUCACCUUUUAGUCGGUUAUGUCCUUUUAAGUUACAAAGUACCAGUUACAAUAGUUAAAAUAGGCGACGUGGUGCUUUUGUGUCAAAUAUAAACACGCACAUACAUAUAUGCAGGGAGAAGCCAGCUGUAAUUAUCACGUAUGAUAGUGAUAUUACGAAGGAAAAUGAAGUAAUACUAAGUGUACACGUAUUACAACUUAUGGGAACGUAACGGAGAAACCAAUUCCUUAACAUUGCUACUCAUAAUUACGAAAUAGAAUAGGUGAACCAAAUAACAUGGAAACUAAACCCUUACCUAAAUAUAAACUCUAAAUUCAAAUAUAAACUUUAACCCAAAUAGAAUAUAACGAAAUAAAUAACAUAGUAUAUAUUGGUGAAAUUAUGAAAUAUCUAUGAUUGCAUGAAAGAAGUUAAUGAUGUCCCCAAGUCCCCAACCAUAUACCCUCUCACUUUCAAAAUACUAAACCUUAAAUUAUAAUCACUAAACCCUAAACUCUAAUAUAAACCAUAAACCCAAAUAUAAACAUGAAUUCCAAAUAGAAUGGAACAAAAUAAAUAACAUAGUCUGUAUUGGUGAAAUUAUAAAAUGUUUAUAAUUGCAUAAAAAAAGUUAAUGAUGAUUCCAACCAUACAUUUUUGCCUUCUAAAUACUAAACGUUAAACUCUAAUCACUAAAUCCUCACCCAAAUAUAAACCCUAAACCCAAAUAGAAUGGAACAAAAUAAAUGACAUAGCACAUGUUGGAGAAAUUAUGAAAUGUCUAUAAUUGCAUGAAAAAUAUUAAUGCUGACCCAAACCAUACUCCCUCACCUACUAAAUACUAAACCCUAAACUCUAGUCACUAAACCUUAACCCACAUAUAAACUCUAAUUCAAUGUCAACCCCAAUCUUUUAUAAACUAAACCCAAAUCGAAAUACCAGUAAGAUGCAUUUCCAAUUCUACAUGAGAAUAUAGAAUAGAAAUGUGACAAACGAUAUAACACAAUACAUAUUGUUCAAAUGUUGAAGUGUCUAUAAUUGCAGGGAAGGAAGUAAUGCUUACACCAAAUUCAGAUUGAUUGUAGCGAAGGAAAUGAAGACUGACGACAUUAAAGAAAAUAGGUGGAAGAGACAACAUCAUAUGAAUAUCAUUCUCAUUCAACAUCACAUUGUAUUUUAUUUUAUUUGAUGUCAUAAUAAAUUUUAUUCCAUUUAAGUUCAAUAUAUUAUUUAUCUAUGCAAAAUCAUAUACACACUAAUAUAAAAUAUAUAUAUACACUGAUACAAAACUCAUAUCAAGAGAACAUGAAACAACAACGAACAAGAUUGAACCCUCUAAUGCAUUCUUGAUCACCUCAAUCCAACGGAGGUUGAAAUAGUUGUUAAUCUGUCUUUCCAGUGGGUUCAAAACCUGUCUCAAACAGUCUUCUUGGAAGGCCUAAAUCGUCCAUGCCAAACCUAAAGAACAAAGUAAGAAGGAAACAUGGUUAUGACAGAGUAAUUCGUUCUAUUUUAUAUAGAAAAUAACCUUUUAUACCCAAAUAGAAUGGAACAAAAUAAAUAACAUAGUCUGUAUUGGUGAAAUUAUAAAAUGUUUAUGAUUGCAUAAAAGAAGUUAAUGAUGAUCCCAACCAUACCUUUUUGCCUUCUAAAUACUAAACGUUAAACUCUAAUCACUAAACCCUCACCCAAAUAUAAACCCUAAACCCAAAUAGAAUGGAACAAAAUAAAUGACAUAACACAUGUUGGAGAUAUUAUGAAAUGUCUAUAAUUGCAUGAAAAAAUUAAUGCUGACCCAAACCAUACUCCCUCACCUACUAAAUACUAAACCCUAAACUCUAGUCACUAAACCCUAACCCAAAUAUAAACCCU